UAACCACUAGGCUACCCGCCGCCUCUACACUCUAACCACUAGGCUACCUGCCACCCCAUCAUGAGUCGUCCUCCCUCAGCAGCCUGUGUUACACUUCUACAUCUGUCCAAUGUCAAUACAGAAUAUAGACCACUGCAGUUCAUCACUCCAAAUGAUUUGACCUCUAUGAAAUAUUUAGAAGUCAUAGAAUAUAUGGUGCAAUGAUCUCUCCCCCCCCCAUGGAUUAUGAUACAAAUCAACCAAAAUGAACACAAUGCUGAACAGAGAAUUAUGAAUGCACAAAGCCUUUCAUUGACGCUCAACGCCAUUCAUACGCCCCCUAUAUCCUACCCCCCACGAGCCACUUCUCCCCUCCCCCACACGUUACCACCCAGCACGCGGAUCACUGCGGUCAUCGAGUGUGUGUGUGUGAGAGCUGUGUGACGCAGAGCCGAAAACGCGUCACUGAAUUGAGAAUGAAAAAAAUAAUAAGGGAAUGUCGGACUGAGCAGAAAUACACUGAAGGGAACAGAGAGAGAGGAGAGCAGAGCAGAGAGAUGAGAGCAGAGCAGAGAGCAGAGCAGAGCAGAGAGAUGAGAGCAGAGUAGAGUAGAGUAGAGAGAUGAGAGCAGAGUAGAGAGAUGAGAGCAGAGUAGAGUAGAGAGAUGAGAGUAGAGUAGAGUAGAGUAGAGAGAUGAGAGCAGAGUAGAGUAGAGAGAUGAGAGCAGAGAGCAGAGCAGAGAGAUGAGAGCAGAGCAGAGCAGAGAGAUGAGAGCAGAGUAGAGUAGAGUAGAGAGAUGAGAGCAGAGUAGAGAGAUGAGAGCAGAGUAGAGCAGAGAGAUGAGAGCAGAGCAGAUGAGAGCAGAGUAGAGUAGAGAGAUGAGAGUAGAGUAGAGAGAUGAGAGCAGAGUAGAGUAGAGAGAUGAGAGUAGAGUAGAGAGAUGAGAGCAGAGUAGAGUAGAGAGAUGAGAGCAGAGUAGAGUAGAGAGAUGAGAGUAGAGUAGAGAGAUGAGAGCAGAGUAGAGUAGAGAGAUGAGAGUAGAGUAGAGAGAUGAGAGCAGAGUAGAGUAGAGAGAUGAGAGCAGAGUAGAGUAGAGAGAUGAGAGCAGAGUAGACAGAUGAGAGCAGAGUAGAGUAGAGAGAUGAGAGCAGAGUAGAGCAGAGAGAUGAGAGCAGAGAGAUGAGAGCAGAGUAGAGAGAUGAGAGCAGAGAGUUGAGCAGAGCAGAGAGUUGAGAGCAGAGCGAUGAGAGCAGAGUAGAGUAGAGUGAUGAGAGUAGAGUAGAGUAGAGUAUAGUAAUGAGGGUAGAGUAGAGAGUAGAGUAUAGUAAUGAGAGCAGAGUAGAGAGUAGAGUAUAGUAAUGAGAGUAGAGUAGAGAGAUGAGAGCAGAGUAGAGAGAUGAGAGCAGAGUAGAGUAGAGAGAUGAGAGCAGAGAUGAGAGCAGAGUAGAGAGAUGAGAGCAGAGUAGAGUAGAGUGAUGAGAGCAGAGUAGAGUAGAGAGAUGAGAGCAGAGAUGAGAGCAGAGUAGAGUAGAGUGAUGAGAGCAGAGUAGAGUGAUGAGAGCAGAGAGAGACAUUGUUUUCCUCAGUGAAAACAAUGUACUGAGCAAAUGUCAAAUUGGCUUUUGACCAAAUUACCGUACGACAGACCAUGUAUUCACAACCAUGAUUGACAAUCAAACCAAAACAAAGGCAAAGUCUUCCCAUGCCUUGUUGAUUUAAAAAAAUCUUUUGAAUACAAAUUGUUGGAAAGUGGUGUUUGGGGGAAAACGUAUGACAUUAUGAAAUCCACGUAGACAAAGAAGUGUGAGGUUAAAAUUGGGAAAUAAACACAUUUCAUUCCUCAGGGCCGGGGGGUGAGACAGGGAUGCAGCUUAAGCCCCACCCUCUUCAACAUAUAUAUCAACAAAUUGCCGAGGGCGCUAGAACAGUCUGCAGCACCCGGCCUCACCCUACUAGAAUCUGAAGUCAAAUGUCUACUGUUUGCUGAUGUCUACUGGUGCUUCUGUCACCAACCAAGGAGGGCCUACAGCAGCACCUAGAUCUUCUGCACAGAUUCUGACAGACCUGGGCCCUGACAGUAAAUCUCAGGAAGACAAAAAUGAUGGUGUUCCAAAAAAGGACCAGUCGCCAAGACAACAAAUACAAAUUCCGUUGCCCUAGAGCACACAAAAAAAAACUAUACAAACCUCGGUCGCCACAGGUAACUUCCACAAAGCUGUGACCAAUCUAAAAGACAAGGCAAGAAGGGCAUUCCAUGCCAUCAAAAGGAACAAAAUUCGACAUCCCAAUUAGGAUCUAGCUAAAAAUACUUGAAUCAGUCAUAGAGCCCAUUGCCCUUUAUGGUUGUGAGGUCUGGGGUCUGCGUACCAACCAAGAAUUCACAAUUAUGCAAAACUAUCCUUAAUGUAUUGUACAACAUAGAAAGACCAAAUAAUGCAUGUGAAGCAGAAUUAGGCCGAUACCCGCUAAUUAUCAAAAUCCAGAAAAGAGCCGUUAAAUUCUACAACCACCUAAAAGGAAGUGAUUCCCAAACCUUCCAUAACAAAGCCAUCACCUUCAGAGAGAUGAACCUGGAGAAGAGUCCCCUAAGCAAGCUGGUCCUGGGGCUCUGUUCACAAACACACCCUACAGAGCCCCAGGACAGCAGCACAAUUAGACCCAAUCAAAUCAUGAGAAAACAAAAAGAUAAUUACUUGACACAUUGGAAAGAAUUUACAAAAAAACUGAGCAAACUAGAAUGCUAUUUGAGCUGCAAUUCCUAACCUCCUGCCAAGUGUUUGACCAUAUUAGAGACACAUAUUUCCCUCAGAUUACACAGGCCGACAAAGAAUUAGAAAACAAACCCAAUUUUGAUAAAUUCCCAUAUCUACUGGGUGAAAUUCCACAGUGUGCCAUCACAGCAGCAAGAUGUGUGACCUGUUGCCACAAGAAAAGGGCAACCAGUGAAGAACAAACACCAUUGUGUAACGGCUUUCUUGUGGUGAAGUAGAGGCGGACCAAAACGCAGGGUGGUGAUGAUUCAUGUUUGUUUAAUAAAGGAAAACUAUACAUGAAUAAACUACAAAACAAUGAAAUGUGAAAACCCAAAACAGCCCUAUCUGGUGCAAAACCCAGAGACAGGAACAAUCACCCACAAACACACAGUGAAACCCAGGCUAUCUAAAUAUGGUUCCCAAUCAGAGACAAUGACUAACACCUGCCUCUGAUUGAGAACCAUAUCAGGCCAAACAUAGAAAUAGACAAACUAGACAUCCAACAUAGAAUGCCCACUCAGAUCACACCCUGACCAACCAAAACAUAGAAACAUACAAAGCAAACUAUGGUCAGGGUGUGACACAUUGUAAAUACAACCCAUAUUUAUGUUUAUUUAUUGUCCCUCGUGUACCCUUAACCAUUUGUACAUUGUUACAACACUG
Molecule: long non-coding RNA, 3396 nt
Organism: Oncorhynchus tshawytscha (Chinook salmon)
Lineage: Eukaryota; Metazoa; Chordata; Actinopteri; Salmoniformes; Salmonidae
Source: Ensembl